RNAcentral lists this ribosomal RNA (301 nucleotides) under uncultured bacterium. Its description in RNAcentral is "partial 16S ribosomal RNA". It matches the Rfam family "Bacterial small subunit ribosomal RNA", at positions 509 to 807 of the family's 1533-position model. The record is from RNAcentral.
CAGUAGCCGCGGGAAUACGUAGGGCGCAAGCGUUAUCCGGAAUUAUUGGGCGUAAAGAGCUCGUAGGCGGUUUGUCGCGUCUGCCGUGAAAGUCCGGGGCUCAACCCCGGAUCUGCGGUGGGUACGGGCAGACUAGAGUGAUGUAGGGGAGACUGGAAUUCCUGGUGUAGCGGUGAAAUGCGCAGAUAUCAGGAGGAACACCGAUGGCGAAGGCAGGUCUCUGGGCAUUAACUGACGCUGAGGAGCGAAAGCAUGGGGAGCGAACAGGAUUAGAGACCCGAGUAGUCCCUGUCUCUUAUAC